Molecule: ribosomal RNA, 544 nt
Filed under: uncultured fungus
Lineage: Eukaryota; Fungi
Description: eukaryotic LSU rRNA
Rfam family: Eukaryotic large subunit ribosomal RNA
Source: RNAcentral
GCGAGUGAGCGGUAACAGCUCAAAUUUGAAAUCUGGGUCUUUCAGGCUCCGAGUUGUAAUUUGUAGAAGAUGCUUCGGGUGCGGCUCCGGUCUAAGUUCCUUGGAACAGGACGUCAUAGAGGGUGAGAAUCCCGUAUGUGAUCGGUUGCUUGCGCCCAUGUGAAGCUCUUUCGACGAGUCGAGUUGUUUGGGAAUGCAGCUCAAAAUGGGUGGUAAAUUUCAUCUAAAGCUAAAUAUUGGCCAGAGACCGAUAGCGCACAAGUAGAGUGAUCGAAAGAUGAAAAGCACUUUGGAAAGAGAGUUAAACAGUACGUGAAAUUGUUGAAAGGGAAGCGCUUGCAACCAGACUUGCGCGUUGCCGAUCAUCCGGGGUUCUCCCCGGUGCACUCGGCCUCGCUCAGGCCAGCAUCGGUUUUGGUGGUGGGAUAAAGGCCUUGGGAAUGUAGCUCCUUUCGGGGAGUGUUAUAGCCCUCGGUGCAAUGCCGCCUACCGGGACCGAGGACCGCGCUUCGGCUAGGAUGCUGGCGUAAUGGUUGUAAGCGAC